AAUAUAGGUCACCCAUCAAUGAGAAGAAACAUGUAAAUAAUGGAACUUGAAUAACGUAAAUAGCCGAAACAAAGGCAGGCACAUUUGCAAGGAGAAAUUUUCCAAGACUUGCUUCUAAUUUCUAAGAUGACACUACAAAGUAGAUGAUGUUCAUGCCAUAACUACAAUCGAACACAAGCACAUAAAACUGAGGUAUCAACAACAGAAACCUUCACCUAUACGCUCUUGUACAUAAGCCCGUCUUGCAAUGCCAGACCAGCCAAAACUUACCCUUUCACAUCUCUACAUUUCUUUACCCUCAGCUUCACAUGCAUCACUCUUCAGCACCUUCAAUCUUCUGUAACCCUUGUCAGUACCAAAUAACCAGUCCAUGUAAACAAAUGUUGAAGAAUAAUUUCCAGACUUUGUGUAGAGCAGUCGGUGAUGAUAAUCAUGAAAAUCAGCCCCCCCAUAUAAUGGCAAGAAGUUUGAUAGGCUCCAUGGGAAAUGGUAACCACAAUGUGCUUCAACUGUCUCAAGGACUCUAACUAUCAUCCACAACCAUAAUGUUAUCAAAUGGGGCCCAGUAAUGAUUGGACCCACUAUUGUAGCAAAUCCAAGAAAAAGAAUUUCAGCAGGGUGAGCAUAUUCAGAGGUCAAUCCAAAUGGUGUUGCAUACUCGUGAUGGACACUGUGGACAUGCUUGUAGAGCCAUUUAGUAUGUAAAAUCCUGUGUCCCCAAUAGAAUACAAAAUCCUCCAGGAUAAAGUAGAAUAAUACUUGCGUAGAGAUCACUUUCCAGGACGGCAACGGAAGAGUAUUUCGCAUCCCCAUUAAUUUGAAGACUGGAUAGGAUGCCAUCAUAAGCGGGAGAUUAACACAAAAAUGAUACAGCAACAGGCGAGUGAUACAUUUCUCCUGAGCUGCAGGAGUAUUAUUUUUUGUCUGAAUUUUAUAUUUGCUCAACCAUCCUGCCCUUUCUAGAAGAAUGAAAGGAAG
Molecule: unclassified non-coding RNA, 978 nt
Filed under: Hevea brasiliensis (rubber tree)
Lineage: Eukaryota; Viridiplantae; Streptophyta; Magnoliopsida; Malpighiales; Euphorbiaceae
Source: RNAcentral